AAUGGGCGCAAGCCUGAUCCAGCCAUGCCGCGUGAGUGAAGAAGGCCUUCGGGUUGUAAAGCUCUUUCGGCCGGGACGAAAUCGCACGGGUUAACACCGCGUGUGGAUGACGGUACCGGAAUAAGAAGCACCGGCUAACUACGUGCCAGCAGCCGCGGUAAUACGUAGGGUGCGAGCGUUAAUCGGAAUUACUGGGCGUAAAGCGUGCGCAGGCGGUUUUGUAAGCCAGAUGUGAAAUCCCCGGGCUUAACCUGGGAACUGCAUUUGGGACUGCAAGGCUAGAGUACGGCAGAGGGGGGUAGAAUUCCUGGUGUAGCAGUGAAAUGCGUAGAUAUCAGGAGGAAUACCGAUGGCGAAGGCAGCCCCCUGGGUCGAUACUGACGCUCAUGCACGAAAGCGUGGGGAGCAAA
This 410-nucleotide ribosomal RNA is filed under the name uncultured bacterium. RNAcentral's name for it is "bacterial SSU rRNA". It matches the Rfam family "Bacterial small subunit ribosomal RNA", at positions 370 to 772 of the family's 1533-position model. The record is from RNAcentral.